UACGGAGGGUGCGAGCGUUAUCCGGAAUUACUGGGUUUAAAGGGUGCGUAGGCGGCCAUGUAAGUCAGGAGUGAAAGUUUGCGGCUCAACCGUAAAAUUGCUUUUGAUACUGCAUGGCUGGAAUCAGGAUGAGGUCAGCGGAAUGUGGCAUGUAGCGGUGAAAUGCAUAGAUAUGCCAUAGAACACCAAUUGCGAAGGCAGCUGGCUAGACCUGUAUUGACGCUGAGGUGCGAAAGCGUGGGGAGCAAACAGG
RNAcentral lists this ribosomal RNA (253 nucleotides) under uncultured bacterium. Its description in RNAcentral is "partial 16S ribosomal RNA". It matches the Rfam family "Bacterial small subunit ribosomal RNA", at positions 524 to 776 of the family's 1533-position model. The record is from RNAcentral.